GAGGCCCUCCGACGCUCAAGUCAGAUUUUAUGGCUCAGAGUAGUAUAUUUAGGCAAGAGUUACAGAAAGAAUAAAAAUGGUGUCCAGGAAGGAAAAGGAAGAAGAAGAGAGCCCCCUCUGCGUGGCCUCUAUCGUGAUAUAUAUAUCUGUCUCUCUGCCACAAUGCUAGCUGUCUUCUGUCGCCUAGCUCCGUAUGUAUGGAUGUGUCAGGCGCCUGCUCCAUGCGUAACGGCCAUUAAUUCUCCUCUGAUACGUAUGAUUCUCCUCUGAUACGCAUGCGGAAGGACCUACCAGCGGGGCAUCUUGGUCAUUUUCCCCUUUCCGGGCUGGGUUGAAUGGUAGGGCUGAAGUGGAGCCUGGUGGGGGCCUGAUUACUGGGCCGAGAGGUUUGGGCCGGUUUGAUUGAGGAGUCUAGGCGGAGUCCGGCCCUGUGACUGAGCGGGCUGGACCUGGCUCUCGAGGGGAAUAUUGAAGCCUUCGGAUCAUGGACUGUUUUCAUGGGCCUGGCCUUUAUACCGGGGUGAAGAAAUCCAGCGAUCAUCAAA
RNAcentral lists this long non-coding RNA (545 nucleotides) under Manihot esculenta (cassava). RNAcentral's name for it is "long non-coding RNA (MESC_LNC000455)". Lineage: Eukaryota; Viridiplantae; Streptophyta; Magnoliopsida; Malpighiales; Euphorbiaceae. The record is from RNAcentral.